UGCCAGCAGCCGCGGUAAUACGGGGGGUGCAAGCGUUAAUCGGAAUUACUGGGCGUAAAGCGCGCGUAGGCGGUUUGUUAAGUCAGAUGUGAAAGCCCUGGGCUCAACCUGGGAAUUGCAUUUGAUACUGGCAGACUAGAGUAUGGUAGAGGGAAGUGGAAUUCCGGGUGUAGCGGUGAAAUGCGUAGAUAUCCGGAGGAACAUCAGUGGCGAAGGCGACUUCCUGGACCAAUACUGACGCUGAGGUGCGAAAGCGUGGGGAGCAAACAGGAUUAGAUA
Molecule: ribosomal RNA, 279 nt
Filed under: uncultured bacterium
Lineage: Bacteria
Description: partial 16S ribosomal RNA
Rfam family: Bacterial small subunit ribosomal RNA
Source: RNAcentral